CCUACGGGAGGCAGCAGUGGGGAAUAUUGCACAAUGGGGGGAACCCUGAUGCAGCAACGCCGCGUGGGUGAAGAAGUACUUCGGUAUGUAAAGCCCUGUCAGCAGGGAAGAAAAUGACGGUACCUGACCAAGAAGCCCCGGCUAACUACGUGCCAGCAGCCGCGGUAAUACGUAGGGGGCAAGCGUUAUCCGGAUUUACUGGGUGUAAAGGGAGCGUAGACGGCAAGGCAAGUCAGAAGUGAAAGCCCGGGGCUCAACCACGGGACUGCUUUUGAAACUGUGUUGCUGGAGUGCAGGAGGGGUAAGCGGAAUUCCUAGUGUAGCGGUGAAAUGCGUAGAUAUUAGGAGGAACACCGGUGGCGAAGGCGGCUUACUGGACUGUAACUGACGUUGAGGCUCGAAGGCGUGGGGAGCAAACAGGAUUAGAUACCCGAGUAGUC
RNAcentral lists this ribosomal RNA (440 nucleotides) under uncultured bacterium. RNAcentral's name for it is "partial 16S ribosomal RNA". It matches the Rfam family "Bacterial small subunit ribosomal RNA", at positions 338 to 795 of the family's 1533-position model. The record is from RNAcentral.